Molecule: ribosomal RNA, 502 nt
Filed under: uncultured bacterium
Lineage: Bacteria
Description: bacterial SSU rRNA
Rfam family: Bacterial small subunit ribosomal RNA
Source: RNAcentral
ACUUUGAUUAUGGCUCGGANUGAACGCUGGCGGCGUGCUUAACACAUGCAAGUCGAACGAGAACGGGUUAUAGCUUGCUAUAACUGUCAGCUAAGUGGCGCACGGGUGAGUAAUGUAUAGUUAACCUGCCCUCGAGAAAGGAAUAACAGUUGGAAACGACUGCUAAUGCCCUAUAUGCCUUUAAGACAUAAGUCUGCAAGGGAAAUGCUUUAGUGCUCGAGGAUGGGACUGUAUGGUAUCAGCUAGUUGGUGAGGUAAUGGCUCACCAAGGCAAUGACGCCUAACUGGUUUGAGAGGAUGAUCAGUCACACUGGAACUGAGACACGGUCCAGACUCCUACGGGAGGCAGCAGUGGGGAAUAUUGCACAAUGGAGGAAACUCUGAUGCAGCAACGCCGCGUGGAGGAUGACACUUUUCGGAGCGUAAACUCCUUUUAUAUAGGAAGAUAAUGACGGUACUAUAUGAAUAAGCACCGGCUAACUCCGUGCCAGCAGCCGCGGUA